This 497-nucleotide ribosomal RNA is filed under the name uncultured bacterium. RNAcentral describes it as "partial 16S ribosomal RNA". It matches the Rfam family "Bacterial small subunit ribosomal RNA", at positions 28 to 507 of the family's 1533-position model. The record is from RNAcentral.
GAUGAACGCUGGCGGCGUGCCUAAUACAUGCAAGUCGAGCGAACGGACGAGAAGCUUUCUUCUCUGAUGUUAGCGGCGGACGGGUGAGUAACACGUGGAUAACCUACUUAUAAGACUGGGAUAACUUCGGGAAACCGGAGCUAAUACCGGAUAAUAUUUUCAACCGCAUGGUUCAAAAGUGCAAGACGGCUUUGCUGUCACUUAUAGAUGGAUCCGCGCUGCAUUAGCUAGUUGGUAAGGUAACGGCUUACCAAGGCAACGAUGCAUAGCCGACCUGAGAGGGUGAUCGGCCACACUGGAACUGAGACACGGUCCAGACUCCUACGGGAGGCAGCAGUAGGGAAUCUUCCGCAAUGGGCGAAAGCCUGACGGAGCAACGCCGCGUGAGUGAUGAAGGUCUUCGGAUCGUAAAGCUCUGUUAUUAGGGAAGAACAUAUGUGUAAGUAACUGUGCACGUCUUGACGGUACCUAAUCAGAAAGCCACGGCUAACUACGUG